AAGCCAUGAAGAGCCAUUUCUCUCGGGUGUAAAUCCGAAAUGAGAAAUACCAGGCUCUGAUACCAAUUGUUAGGAUCGGAGCGGCACUAAGAGGGGGGGGGGUGAAUUAGUGCAGCGGUAAAGUUUGAUAAACUUUUGACGAUUUAAACACUUUCGAAAACUUCGUACGAUAAAAGUAACGUUUUCGUUUGAAACCAUUUCG
Molecule: long non-coding RNA, 202 nt
Filed under: Musa acuminata (dwarf banana)
Lineage: Eukaryota; Viridiplantae; Streptophyta; Magnoliopsida; Zingiberales; Musaceae
Description: long non-coding RNA (MACU_LNC010272)
Source: RNAcentral